RNAcentral lists this ribosomal RNA (3050 nucleotides) under Campylobacter jejuni. Its description in RNAcentral is "23S ribosomal RNA". It matches the Rfam family "Bacterial large subunit ribosomal RNA". The record is from RNAcentral. Lineage: Bacteria; Pseudomonadati; Campylobacterota; Epsilonproteobacteria; Campylobacterales; Campylobacteraceae.
AAGCUACUAAGAGCGAAUGGUGGAUGCCUUGACUGGUAAAGGCGAUGAAGGACGUACUAGACUGCGAUAAGCUACGGGGAGCUGUCAAGAAGCUUUGAUCCGUAGAUUUCCGAAUGGGGCAACCCAAUGUAUAGAGAUAUACAUUACCUAUAUAGGAGCGAACGAGGGGAAUUGAAACAUCUUAGUACCCUCAGGAAAAGAAAUCAAUAGAGAUUGCGUCAGUAGCGGCGAGCGAAAGCGCAAGAGGGCAAACCCAGUGCUUGCACUGGGGGUUGUAGGACUGCAAUGUGCAAGAGGUAAGUUUAGCAGAACAUUCUGGAAAGUAUAACCAUAGAGGGUGAUAGUCCCGUAUGCGAAAAACAAACCUUAGCUAGCAGUAUCCUGAGUAGGGCGGGACACGAGGAAUCCUGUCUGAAUCCGGGUCGACCACGAUCCAACCCUAAAUACUAAUACCAGAUCGAUAGUGCACAAGUACCGUGAGGGAAAGGUGAAAAGAACUGAGGUGAUCAGAGUGAAAUAGAACCUGAAACCAUUUGCUUACAAUCAUUCAGAGCCCUAUGUAGCAAUACAGGGUGAUGGACUGCCUUUUGCAUAAUGAGCCUGCGAGUUGUGGUGUCUGGCAAGGUUAAGCAAACGCGAAGCCGUAGCGAAAGCGAGUCUGAAUAGGGCGCUUAGUCAGAUGCUGCAGACCCGAAACGAAGUGAUCUAUCCAUGAGCAAGUUGAAGCUAGUGUAAGAACUAGUGGAGGACUGAACCCAUAGGCGUUGAAAAGCCCCGGGAUGACUUGUGGAUAGGGGUGAAAGGCCAAUCAAACUUCGUGAUAGCUGGUUCUCUCCGAAAUAUAUUUAGGUAUAGCGUUGUGUCGUAAUAUAAGGGGGUAGAGCACUGAAUGGGCUAGGGCAUACACCAAUGUACCAAACCCUAUCAAACUCCGAAUACCUUAUAUGUAAUCACAGCAGUCAGGCGGCGAGUGAUAAAAUCCGUCGUCAAGAGGGAAACAACCCAGACUACCAGCUAAGGUCCCUAAAUCUUACUUAAGUGGAAAACGAUGUGAAGUUACUUAAACAACCAGGAGGUUGGCUUAGAAGCAGCCAUCCUUUAAAGAAAGCGUAAUAGCUCACUGGUCUAGUGAUUUUGCGCGGAAAAUAUAACGGGGCUAAAGUAAGUACCGAAGCUGUAGACUUGCACACAACUUAGAUUAUUUAAGUUUAGAAUAUGAGAAACUAAGUUAUAUGUUUAGUUAUAUUUUUACUGAUUUUUAUAGAGUAAAGAUAGAAAUAAAACUUAGUAAAAUCAGUAAAAAUAUUCUUAGACUAAAGUUAAGUAGUUUAAGUUGUGUGCAAGUGGUAGGAGAGCGUUCUAUUUGCGUCGAAGGUAUACCGGUAAGGAGUGCUGGAGCGAAUAGAAGUGAGCAUGCAGGCAUGAGUAGCGAUAAUUAAUGUGAGAAUCAUUAACGCCGUAAACCCAAGGUUUCCUACGCGAUGCUCGUCAUCGUAGGGUUAGUCGGGUCCUAAGUCGAGUCCGAAAGGGGUAGACGAUGGCAAAUUGGUUAAUAUUCCAAUACCAACAUUAGUGUGCGAUGGAAGGACGCUUAGGGCUAAGGGGGCUAGCGGAUGGAAGUGCUGGUCUAAGGUCGUAGGAGGUUAUACAGGCAAAUCCGUAUAACAAUACUCCGAGAACUGAAAGGCUUUUUGAAGUCUUCGGAUGGAUAGAAGAACCCCUGAUGCCGUCGAGCCAAGAAAAGUUUCUAAGUUUAGCUAAUGUUGCCCGUACCGUAAACCGACACAGGUGGGUGGGAUGAGUAUUCUAAGGCGCGUGGAAGAACUCUCUUUAAGGAACUCUGCAAAAUAGCACCGUAUCUUCGGUAUAAGGUGUGGUUAGCUUUGUAUUAGGAUUUACUCCGAAAGCAAGGAAACUUACAACAAAGAGUCCCUCCCGACUGUUUACCAAAAACACAGCACUCUGCUAACUCGUAAGAGGAUGUAUAGGGUGUGACGCCUGCCCGGUGCUCGAAGGUUAAUUGAUGGGGUUAGCAUUAGCGAAGCUCUUGAUCGAAGCCCGAGUAAACGGCGGCCGUAACUAUAACGGUCCUAAGGUAGCGAAAUUCCUUGUCGGUUAAAUACCGACCUGCAUGAAUGGCGUAACGAGAUGGGAGCUGUCUCAAAGAGGGAUCCAGUGAAAUUGUAGUGGAGGUGAAAAUUCCUCCUACCCGCGGCAAGACGGAAAGACCCCGUGGACCUUUACUACAGCUUGACACUGCUACUUGGAUAAGAAUGUGCAGGAUAGGUGGGAGGCUUUGAGUAUAUGACGCCAGUUGUAUAUGAGCCAUUGUUGAGAUACCACUCUUUCUUAUUUGGGUAGCUAACCAGCUUGAGUUAUCCUCAAGUGGGACAAUGUCUGGUGGGUAGUUUGACUGGGGCGGUCGCCUCCCAAAUAAUAACGGAGGCUUACAAAGGUUGGCUCAGAACGGUUGGAAAUCGUUCGUAGAGUAUAAAGGUAUAAGCCAGCUUAACUGCAAGACAUACAAGUCAAGCAGAGACGAAAGUCGGUCUUAGUGAUCCGGUGGUUCUGUGUGGAAGGGCCAUCGCUCAAAGGAUAAAAGGUACCCCGGGGAUAACAGGCUGAUCUCCCCCAAGAGCUCACAUCGACGGGGAGGUUUGGCACCUCGAUGUCGGCUCAUCGCAUCCUGGGGCUGGAGCAGGUCCCAAGGGUAUGGCUGUUCGCCAUUUAAAGCGGUACGCGAGCUGGGUUCAGAACGUCGUGAGACAGUUCGGUCCCUAUCUGCCGUGGGCGUAAGAAGAUUGAAGAGAUUUGACCCUAGUACGAGAGGACCGGGUUGAACAAACCACUGGUGUAGCUGUUGUUCUGCCAAGAGCAUCGCAGCGUAGCUAAGUUUGGAAAGGAUAAACGCUGAAAGCAUCUAAGCGUGAAGCCAACUCUAAGAUGAAUCUUCUCUAAGCUCUCUAGAAGACUACUAGUUUGAUAGGCUGGGUGUGUAAUGGAUGAAAGUCCUUUAGCUGACCAGUACUAAUAGAGCGUUUGGCUUAUCU